ACGCUCGACACCUAAGGCAGCAGUGGGGAAUAUUGCACAAUGGGGGAAACCCUGAUGCAGCGACGCCGCGUGAAGGAAGAAGUAUCUCGGUAUGUAAACUUCUAUCAGCAGGGAANAAAAUGACGGUACCUGACUAAGAAGCCCCGGCUAACUACGUGCCAACAGCCGCGGUAAUCUGAGCGGGCUGGCAAGGC
Molecule: ribosomal RNA, 194 nt
Filed under: uncultured bacterium
Lineage: Bacteria
Description: partial 16S ribosomal RNA
Rfam family: Bacterial small subunit ribosomal RNA
Source: RNAcentral